This is a long non-coding RNA of Aegilops tauschii subsp. strangulata, 3098 nucleotides long. RefSeq lists it as uncharacterized. Lineage: Eukaryota; Viridiplantae; Streptophyta; Magnoliopsida; Poales; Poaceae. The record is from RefSeq and is a predicted model, not a curated record.
UUUCUUUGAGAUACAUCCAAAAGUAAAUGAAGCCCACAAUAUGGUAUGGGCCGGGCUAGCAAUAGAACAGCAGACGACAAAAAUACGGAACAGACUCAAUAUUAUACGUAUAUUGAAGGACACAAAAGGAGAACAGAGCAGUAUCCAGAACAGUUCGACUCCUGUGUGGAGCGAAUUCCUGCAAUUCUCUCGCUAAGUAGGCCUAAAAAUUCCUCCGAGUGGCGUUUUGAUGACCGUCGACCCUUUAUUGUUUUUUGGAAGCCCCGUCCCCUUCUCAAAGCUCUGCCAUCCCCGUCCUGUACUCCCUUGGAAAAGCUGGAUUUUUUCGACUGGAGGAGCAAUUCCGGCUUUAUCCAGUCGUGGCGAUGCCGGAUCCUGCGACGGCGUCGGACGCGAGCCACCAACGGCCGUGGACUCCCUCCCCGGCUGCGCUUCCGCGAAACCCACGGAGAAGGCCCGGACAAAAUUCUCGGAGCAGUACGCCCGCCGCUCCAGCACCUUUCCUCACCGCCGUCGCCAUCAAGGAUCAGUCGGGGGAUGAACAUCAAGAGGACUGAGCGAACGAUUGAUUAUGAGGAGUAAGUAGUUCUUUACUCAGUGAGAGGAAGGACUAUUAUCUAGUGGAGACAAGGUGCAUGGAUAUGUAUUUCCCGGCCCUCUACUGCUUUUCUGCUAGCCUUUCCCUCUUCUGUGUAUUGUUACCUAGCCUUUUCUGUACUGAACAUUGUUAUCUCCACGUAAAUGCUCGGUUCCAGCCAGCCACGAGGUCGGGAAGACGUGGCUUCCGGUGAAAAUCGCGCCUGACUGCGGUCUUGGCGGACGAUGGCGGCGUCUCAGACGUCGUUCCCUUCUGGAGGCAUCGUCGUUGCAGGUCACAUCAACCUGAUCGGGAAGUUCCGGGGGAAACCCUAGAUCUGGGUAUACCGGAUCGGACGAUGACGGUGCCUUCGGUAUCGUUCUCCCUCGUGGGGGCAUCGUUUCGGAGCAAGUGCUGGUUUGGAGGAGACAAGAGGAGGAGCGGUGUUUCCUCUGCUCCAUUGAUGACGGCGGUCUCGGCGGCGUGGCGCAGUGGAGACUCGGCGCCUGAUGAGCGGAGAAGGACUCGCGCAGGAGGGUGACGCUGCCUGGCGUCGUGGUGGCGUCGGCGGCAAUUAGACCGGGCAAGGUUGAUGCAGCAGUACAGCUCUGAAGAUGGAUUGGUGGCAGGUGGCUGCGGCGGCCUCAUACCCGGCAGGCGUCCUGGUUGAGAAGCACGCCUGACUGAUGGGUGCCCAUACCCGGCAGGCGUCCUGGUUGGGACCUCAAGUCUUAGAUGUUAGGUUUGGCUGCGAGGUCUGUUUGGUAUUAGGCCAAGACUUUCAGCGCCCCUACAUCAACUGGAUAGGGAUAGCGACAGAUGUUGCUUAGUUUGGUGGCUUUAGGCUUAUUGUUGUAUGACUCUGUAAGGUCUUGUGCCAAUAAUUAAUAAAAUGGCCGUAUGCAUCGUCCAGAUGCAGAGACCGGGGGUCGUCCUCCUUUUCUAAAAAAAACAUGCGGUGAAUUGUGAUUUUUAUUUCUCAUAGGGAUUCCGAUUUUAAUUGGUGAAAGGCCGAAAAGGAUAGGAAUGUCUCUUUACCAAGUUAGCCAGCAUUCACAAUGUAUUCAGCAAUCCACAGUACGGCUGAUGGCAUUUCUUGGAUAAUGAACCAACAGUAGUGAAGUUCUGAAGUAUUAUUCAACCUCAAUGUUCGGCUAGUAAUUAAUUUAGCAUAGAAAAGCUUGGCGGUUCUAGCGUAUUAACCUUAACAUUCAGCUAGUCAUUUCAAUUUGUAUUGCCAACAGAAGGGUGGUUCUACUAUUCUAAUUAACUCGAUGACACUGAUGAUAUACCAAACAACCACAUAUACCGCAUGGCUAUCUUUUAACGACCUGCAGUGGUUCAGAAUCCACCGAGUGUCUGUUGCUGGACUUGGCCAUUCUGUCUGAAACUGCAUGCAUGCUCUGUUUAUUGAGGUGACUCCAAGUUGAGUGAGCAAGCAGAGUAGAGAGAGAUCAGAUGACUAAUUCAAUUUAGUCUGAUCCUUGGACCAUGUCAUGUUAUGUUGUUAUGGCAAUGCGAUGUGUCUGUGUUGUUUUGUCAACACAAUCACAUUUAGUUUAGAUGCCGUUGCACUUGAUUUAUCUGGUAUAUUCAUUUGUCACAAUCACCUCCAGUUUAGUUUCAGGUUUCAGAUCACAAAACAAAUGAUCUGACCAAGGAGAGUUUUUUUAGCACAGGGAAAUCUGACUUACUGGCCGUUACCUGAAAAAAACUCCCUCACCACUAUCACUUCUCAAAUAGCAAGGGAGAUCUACCUAGCUUUUUGCCCUUUUCCACUGGAGCAAGUGCCACUCGGUGCUCACCACCACUUCUCUCAGAGCAAGGGACAAGGGAGAUCUAGCUAGCUUUUGCUCUGGAGCAAAGGGCUAACCAAGAUCCAUCUCUCAUCUCUCGGCCCCAUUCAAGUACCAGCUCAAGUGCGACUGAACCCUGCCACUACUUCCCAGAGAACAAGAGCAAUCUAUCUAGUUUUUGCUCUAGAACAAGGGCCAACCAAGACCCGUCUCUCAUCUCUGCGGUUGAUUUUCAAGUACCAGGUCAGGGGAGAAGGAACCCUGGAACAAAUGGCGGGGUUUCUGGAUGUUUUAGCAUCCAAUGUCAGCAACAUGCUCACCGACAGCCAGAUCUGUCUCUCGUCGCCAGUCCAUCGAAGAUACCUAACUGAUUCCAGUUCCACUACAGUACUAUACCUAUUUUUCUCUCUCUAAAAUUCAUGAUCACCUCAAUUUUGUGUGCAAGCCACAUUUUACCUUCAGAAGGAGUUCUCAACUUAGAAGGGAGGCAGCCGGUGACAAGGGAUCGUGGUUCUGUCGGUAUGGACAAAUCAUAAGGCGCGAGCCUCGGAGUUCUCCUCGUUAGCCUUAUGCUAAGUGAGUGCAACAAGGAAGCUCCAGGUAUGGUUUAUGCUAAGUGAGUUCUACGGGGUGGCCUUAUGCAAGUUCUGCUAUCUAUGGCACCCCCGGCCUCCAUGUAUGGCUUGGCCCUCCGCCACUCACUCAGCGUUUGUACCUCCAGAACU